Molecule: long non-coding RNA, 402 nt
Filed under: Pan troglodytes (chimpanzee)
Lineage: Eukaryota; Metazoa; Chordata; Mammalia; Primates; Hominidae
Description: long non-coding RNA NONPTRT005627
Source: RNAcentral
CCACCUCCCUGUGUGUAAUCUCUAAGUAUCCCCCAUGUCUUCAGAGCUAUAUCCCUCUCAGAUUCAAGUCCAGAGCAAGAGCAUCUGAUAUAGUUUGGAUGUGUGUCCCUGUCCAAAUCUUAUGGUGAAUUGACAUCCCCAAUGUUGGAGCAUCCGGAGAAAUUAUUCUUGAGCUGACAGGUGCAUUAGUCCAAAAAACACUUACCUCAGUGGACCAUAACUAUGCCAGGCUGCAGGACCACCAGCGUCCAUGACAAGUGUGUCCGCAUUACUGCAAGUCUUUUGGUAGUGGUCAGAAAACAACAAUGGAGCAAUACCAUGUGGCAACAAGAGCAACAAUGGCCAAGAUAAUGGAGCUGUUCCACUGACUGCACAGGUUUUCUGGUCCUUUCUCCAUGGCAG